GACGAACGCUGGCGGCGUGCUUAACACAUGCAAGUCGAACGGAAAGGCCUGCUUUCCCUUGUGGAUUGCGGGUACUCGAGUGGCGAACGGGUGAGUAACACGUGAGUGAUCUGCCCCCAACUUGGGUAUAAGCCUGGGAAACUGGGUCUAAUUCCCGAUAGGACUGCAGGGUGGUGCCUGUGGUGGAAAACGAUUUUCUAGUGGUUGGGGAUGAGCUCGCGGCCUAUCAGCUUGUUGGUGGGGUAAUGGCCUACCAAGGCGGCGACGGGUAGCCGGCCUGAGAGGGUGGACGGCCACAUUGGGACUGAGAUACGGCCCAGACUCCUACGGGAGGCAGCAGUGGGGAAUAUUGCACAAUGGGCGGAAGCCUGAUGCAGCGACGCCGCGUGGGGGAUGACGGCCUUCGGGUUGUAAACUCCUUUCGACCGCGAGGAAGCCACCUGGUUGGAAGGGUGGUGACGGUAGUAGUAGAAGAAGCACCGGCUAACUACGUG
RNAcentral lists this ribosomal RNA (494 nucleotides) under uncultured bacterium. RNAcentral's name for it is "partial 16S ribosomal RNA". It matches the Rfam family "Bacterial small subunit ribosomal RNA", at positions 28 to 507 of the family's 1533-position model. The record is from RNAcentral.